UGCUUUUGAUGAUGAAUUUUGCUGCUGC
RNAcentral lists this non-coding RNA (28 nucleotides) under Homo sapiens (human). The record is from RNAcentral. Lineage: Eukaryota; Metazoa; Chordata; Mammalia; Primates; Hominidae.